CGGCGGCUAGGGCUCGGUUUCGCAAUUUAGACGCAAAAGAACGACGCGGGGCAUCGUGGGGUACUUUAUAGGGUCUCGAUUCGCGAUAAGAGCAAGGAAAACCUGAGAUUUUAGAACGGAUUCAGUGGGCGGUUUCCUAUUCGGUUACGAACAGGAAGCAGGAAGGUGGAGGAGAGGGAGCUGACGCGCGGGCCCAAGCUGUCAGCGAAAUAGGGGGUGGGGAUUGGGCUGGUUGGUCUCUCGGCCAGCAGGCCACCGGGCCGAGCUGAUUUUCUCUUUAUUUUUUCUCUUUUUUUUUCUAAAUUUUCCAAAGCCUUUUUAAAUCGAAUUGAGAGCAAAUAAAUUCCAACAAAAACCAGCAGCACAAGUAAAUAAAGAUGCUCCAGCAUGAAUGCACAAUCAGAGUUGCUAAACCUAUGAUGAAUUUUAAUUCCCACAAAAUUAUUCAUUUUGCUAGAUUCAAUGCUCACAAAAAUUCUUAAACAAAUCAAAUUAAUUUCCUAUUAAUUGAAAUUCACAUUUUGGGUGUUACAAAUAAUAAUAAAGUUUCUCUUUUUUCCGUAUAUUUCUACAUAUGCAGAAUACUCGACAAGUACGACAACAUCUUUCUUUGACAAGUCACACAACGAAAUCACUCAAGGGUACUCGACAUGAUGCAGUGAUACAUCACUCAGAAAACUUAUUUACAGCACUCAAAACCAUGGUUCUU
This 709-nucleotide long non-coding RNA is filed under the name Sorghum bicolor (sorghum). RNAcentral describes it as "long non-coding RNA (SBIC_LNC006409)". Lineage: Eukaryota; Viridiplantae; Streptophyta; Magnoliopsida; Poales; Poaceae. The record is from RNAcentral.